AAAUAAUAAUAUGUAAUUCUUAAAAAGUAGAAGGUGCAAUCAACUAUUUCAACUUUCUAGUCGGUGGUAUUGGUGUAGGAUAAUUGGUGGUAUCCGGAACAUGUUCUUUUGCUAUCCGAGGUCCACCAAAUUUGCUAGCAACCGUACCAGUAACUUCACUUUCGAUAUUGUAGUAUAUAUCAUCAAAUACUUAAACAAAAAAGAAUCAUCCAAAAAGUUAAACAGAAAAAAUUUAUCCAAAAGUUAAAAAUAAUAAUAUGUAAUUCUUAAAAAGUAGAAUGUGCAAUCAACUAUUUCAACUUUCUAGUCGGUGGUAUUGGUGUAGGAUAAUUGGUGGUAUCCGGAACAUGUUCUUUUGCUAUCCGAGGUCCACCAAAUUUGCUAGCAACCGUACCAGUAACUUCACUUUCGCUGAUCGCGCCAUCUUCAUUCUUUGUUUUUCCAUAAUGCCAUAGGAUUGUUGAAAUCUCUCUUGCCCAAGAAAAGUCAAAAGAUCAGCAAACACAUUCAUGUUGGUACAUGAAGAC
Molecule: long non-coding RNA, 527 nt
Filed under: Solanum tuberosum (potato)
Lineage: Eukaryota; Viridiplantae; Streptophyta; Magnoliopsida; Solanales; Solanaceae
Description: long non-coding RNA (STUB_LNC000650)
Source: RNAcentral